GGGAGGAUGUACCCUGUGAGCUCUAGUUUGAGAACUGUAGAAGCCCCAGAUGUUAGAAGUCAGGGAUGCUGAGACUCCAGAGGAUGCUCAAGGAGUGAUAGAGCUGCACUGACUGAGGAGCCCAGACACCCUGGAGAUGCUGCAUCAGGAACAGGUGCUCUCACUUCCUAUCCAUCCCAAAUGCCAUUGUCAGUACUCCAGCCAACCUCGCCUGUGCCAUUUUUCAGGGAAGAAAAUGGCACAGGCUCAUCCACCAGACGGAUGGGGUGGAAACAGAAUUCCUGAGCACUAGGCUAAGGAGGAGCUGGGAUCCCAUUUGUGAGCGAAGAGAAGUAUGUUGAUAUAUGUCAGUUCUAGCCUCCAGUCCUGCAACUGUUCCCAGGUCUCCGUCCGAUGGAGCUCCACUGUCUCCAGGGAGCAGAGACAGAGAUGGGAGAAGAUGGAGCACGGGAAUUGCUGCUCUCUGUGACACUUUCCUUGGCCCUGCUCCUGGAUUUCAAGAUGGGAGAUGUUAUAGCUCAGAGCUGUAUUACUUCCAUCUGGAUCUUGUCUGUGGUGCUAUUCUACAGCCAGAGUGGGACUCAGUUAAUGGAUUAGGGUAGAGAGUCAGUCUAUGGCUACACUAGCUGAGCCACUGUAAGCUCUCUGCUGACAUAGCACUGUCUGCACCGACACUUAAAUUGGCAUAAGUUAUGUCGCUCGAGGGUGGCUAAUUCACACCCCUGAGCGACAUAACUUAUGUCGACUUACGCUGUCGUGUAGCCAUAGCCUAAGGAAUAGUCUAUUUCCUAUGGACAUGUGUGGUGUGGUACAAAUAUUGUUUUAUUCAAAUUCGUAACCCAGGUAUUACAGCAGGGAGGUCCGCCAGCUUUUUGCUCCCUCGAUGCUAAUUAGUAGCUUAUGGCCAGUAUUAAAUAUGGUACUUCAUGAACCAUAAAUUCCUAAAAGGAAACUCUCUCACAUUCCCUGAGUCUCUUUCUCAAGCCAGCCCAGCCUUGAUAUAACUAAGAGCAAUGCCAGUACCAAGCCCUGAAGCAAUAAAUAAGCUUGUUCAUUACAAGUCUGGUGCUUAAUAAUUAUUACACAUAGAACUAACAGUGGCAGUAAGCUGUUCUAGCCAGUUCUGUCUAGGUUUGAAGCUCUGCCAGCUCCAUGUAGGGAUAC
Long non-coding RNA from Dermochelys coriacea (leatherback sea turtle), 1164 nucleotides. RefSeq lists it as uncharacterized. The transcript has 3 exons. NCBI's taxonomy places the organism in Eukaryota, Metazoa, Chordata, Testudines, Dermochelyidae. The record is from RefSeq and is a predicted model, not a curated record.